GACGAACGCUGGCGGCGUGCUUAACACAUGCAAGUCGAACGGAAAGGCCCUGCUGUUGUGGCUUGCUCGAGUGGCGAGCGGGUGACUAACACGUGAUUAACCUGCCCCUGUCUGUGGGAUAACGUCAGGAAACUGUGGUACCUACCGGAUAGGAGUUUCUCCUGCCUGGUGGUGGUUGGAAAGUUUCGGCGGUUGGGGAUGGACUCGCGGCUUAUCGGCUUGUUGGUGGGGUAGUGGCUUACCAUGGCUUCGACGGGUAGCCGGCCUGAGAGGGUGACCGGCCACACUGGGACUGAGAUACGGCCCAGACUCCUACGGGAGGCAGCAGUGGGGAAUAUUGCACAAUGGGCGGAAGCCUGAUGCAGCAACGCCGCGUGCGGGAUGACGGCCUUCGGGUUGUAAACCUCUUUCGCCUGUGACGAAGCGUAAGUGACGGUAGUGAGUAAAGAAGCACCGGCUAACUACGUG
RNAcentral lists this ribosomal RNA (468 nucleotides) under uncultured bacterium. RNAcentral describes it as "partial 16S ribosomal RNA". It matches the Rfam family "Bacterial small subunit ribosomal RNA", at positions 28 to 507 of the family's 1533-position model. The record is from RNAcentral.